This 376-nucleotide ribosomal RNA is filed under the name uncultured bacterium. RNAcentral describes it as "bacterial SSU rRNA". It matches the Rfam family "Bacterial small subunit ribosomal RNA", at positions 521 to 896 of the family's 1533-position model. The record is from RNAcentral.
UAAUACAGAGGGUGCAAGCGUUAAUCGGAAUUACUGGGCGUAAAGCGUGCGUAGACGGUUAUGUAAGUCAGGUGUGAAAGCCCCGGGCUCAACCUGGGAAUUGCAUUUGAGACUGCAUAGCUAGGGUGCGGAAGAGGGAAGCGGAAUUUCCGGUGUAGCGGUGAAAUGCGUAGAUAUCGGAAGGAACACCAGUGGCGAAAGCGGCUUCCUGGUCCAGCACCGACGUUCAGGCACGAAAGCGUGGGGAGCAAACAGGAUUAGAUACCCUGGUAGUCCACGCCAUAAACGAUGAGAACUAGACGUUGAGAGGGUAAGCCUCCCAGUGUCGAAGCUAACGCGAUAAGUUCUCCGCCUGGGGAGUACGGCCGCAAGGUUG